AGUGGCGGACGGGUGAGUAACGCGUGAGCAACCUGCCCCGGAGUGCGGAAUAACGUCUGGAAACGGACGCUAAUACCGCAUGAUACACAGAGGACGCAUGGACUUUGUGUCAAAGAGAAAUCGCUCCUGGAUGGGCUCGCGUCCGAUUAGUUAGUUGGUGAGGUAAUGGCUCACCAAGACCGCGAUCGGUAGCCGGACUGAGAGGUUGAACGGCCACAUUGGAACUGAGAAACGGUCCAGACUCCUACGGGAGGCAGCAGUGGGGAAUAUUGGGCAAUGGGGCCGAAAGCCUGACCCAGCGACGCCGCGUGAGGGAAGAAGGUCUUCGGAUUGUAAACCUCUGUUGACAGGGAAGAAAAAAUGACGGUACCUGUCGAGGAAGCCACGGCUAACUACGUGCCAGCCGCCGC
This 410-nucleotide ribosomal RNA is filed under the name uncultured bacterium. Its description in RNAcentral is "bacterial SSU rRNA". It matches the Rfam family "Bacterial small subunit ribosomal RNA", at positions 94 to 518 of the family's 1533-position model. The record is from RNAcentral.